This is a long non-coding RNA of Sebastes umbrosus (honeycomb rockfish), 213 nucleotides long. RefSeq lists it as uncharacterized. The record is from RefSeq and is a predicted model, not a curated record. The transcript has 4 exons. Lineage: Eukaryota; Metazoa; Chordata; Actinopteri; Perciformes; Sebastidae.
UUCAGAACACUGAUAAAAGUAAAACAUUAUUACUGUAUUUUGGUGUUUCUGCAACUACGGUUACUUUUGACUCUCCCAAAUGAAUAAAAAUCAACCUCUAUGAAUUUCAAUUUUAACCAUCAGAGUAUGUAAUACAUAUAAACAGGUACACAAAAUGACAUUGUUGUUAAGACUUUAAUCUGUAACAUGUUUAUUUUGUAUGGUUUUCAUCAC